UAAAACAAAAGUUUCAUUUUUUGAAUUAAAUUAUGGAAAAAAAUGGUCUUUUCCACGAUAUCCUAACAGGAAGGGCAAUGAUCGUUCAGCGUGAAAAUAUCCGCCAGACGCUACAGAAACUGGGAAGCUUGCUUCUGGAAGGGCGAAAGAUUUCCACCUUGAAGAAAAUGGAAGACUUCAUCUAUCCUUCCAACUUCUUCCAUUUAGUGAAUGCAGUCUAGCGGGUUGUAAGUUUUAUCGAAGAGGAAAAUUAUUUCCGGAUUCCCUCGCUCGCAUUAAAGCUAGGGCACAGCCAAAUAUAGUGGCAUGUGAAGAACUGAUUGCCAGAAAAGACAACAAAGCCAAGCUUGUGAAAAGCUUCACUGAACUUUACAAGACAAGAUGGAAUUAAGUUAUUUCAUCUCAUUCCUACAGAACACUGAACGAGGCAAAGUGGAAUGUGCCAAAGCUUAUUCCCUUUACGGAUGAAGUGACAAAGCUCCACCUGCACCUCGAUGAGAAACAAACAACAUACUAUCGCCAACUGUCUGCUGACAUCAACUCAAAGAACUGGAACAACCAGUUUGCUUUUUUUCAGAACCAGUGGUGCCUGAAGGUGCUGAGGAACAGACAUCUGAUGGUGAAGAACCAACUAAACACAGCAGACAGGUCAUCAUUUAAGAUCAAACACAGACAGGUCAUCAUUUAAGAUCAAACACAGACAGGACAUCAUUUAAGAUCAAACACAGACAGGUCAUCAUUUAAGAUCAAUGAAAAAUAGGUUGCGCUUCUAAUCUGAGGCUGCAGAUAAAAUUAGAUAGGGGAUGUCCAUCUGUAUACAAAGACAGUAAAUCUAAGUUGUGCCUAAAAUGCCUUUAUUGGGGUUGUUCAGCUUCAGGGACGACCAAGAAGACCACCACAGACUCGGCAGGUUCUACAGAUAUGAAAACAAUUUGGAGAAGUGAUAUUGGCUCAGCCCUGCGAUAGACUGGUGACCUGUCCAGGGUGUAUUCCUGCCUUUCGCCCAAUGUAUGCUGGGAUAGGCUCCAGCCCCCCUGCGACCCUGAUCAGGAUAAGCGGGUUCAGAUAAUGGAUGGAUGGAUGGAUGGAUAUUGGCUCAUCGGAAGUCCCAGUCUGGCUAUAUUGAUAGGGACCUGUGCUGAAGAGCACCCUCCUCUGCUCAUCUUUGAUGGGGACAAAAGCCACCUGCACCUGGAGGUGACUGAGAAUGUCACAAUGCCGUCCACCACACUGCUCCCAUGUCCUGCAGCUGUUGGACAUGGGGUUCUUUGGGCCACUGAAUGCAGAGUUUGCCAAGGCGACUGGCAACCUAUGCCAU
This is a long non-coding RNA of Conger conger (European conger), 1318 nucleotides long. RefSeq lists it as uncharacterized. The record is from RefSeq and is a predicted model, not a curated record. Lineage: Eukaryota; Metazoa; Chordata; Actinopteri; Anguilliformes; Congridae. The transcript is spliced from 3 exons.